Molecule: ribosomal RNA, 178 nt
Filed under: Inocybe sp. KGP45
Lineage: Eukaryota; Fungi; Basidiomycota; Agaricomycetes; Agaricales; Inocybaceae
Description: partial 28S ribosomal RNA
Rfam family: Eukaryotic large subunit ribosomal RNA
Source: RNAcentral
UUGACCUCAAAUCAGGUAGGACUACCCGCUGAACUUAAGCAUAUCAAUAAGCGGAGGAAAAGAAACUAACAAGGAUUCCCCUAGUAACUGCGAGUGAAGCGGGAAGAGCUCAAAUUUGAAAUCUGGCGGCUCUUUGACCGUCCGAGUUGUAAUCUAGAGAAGUGCUACCCGUGCUGAC